GUAUGUGGCCAUGAGGUUGCAAGUCAGCUCUGGAACAAUGGCACUGAUCCAGAUUGCCAGGUCUGUAUGCAUCCGUGAACACAAAGGUCAACUCUGUGCUUUUUGUUUGUGUGUGUGCACAGAUAGCGAGAGACGCCCCGCCUCCUCUCCGAGAGCCGCCCCCUUACAGGCCCCCCGGCCUAUUGGAGCAGGAGCCACUGCCGGCCCCCCGAGGCCUCAUAUGAAAGCCCUGCCCCCGUGUACCCCCUUUGCAAAGUGGACCAAUCAAGCAAUCGGACAAUGACGUGCUCAAUCUUGUUCUUUUGGGGCGGCUUUGGGGGUGGGGCUCGCAAAGGCUCCACUUGCGGUCGGUUGAGUUGCGGCACUUAUGAGGGAGCGGGUGCUGUCGCUUGAGCCUUAACACUGUCGUAGGCGUUUCAAUCGCCACGUCACCUUUGAGGAGCAAUAAAAGAAUGUCAGCCACCGUUCUUGGGUCUUCAUGCGUACUUUGGCAAAGGAGAAGCAGACUGCUGAUGCGCCCAACAGCCCGAACGCAAGCCAACUAAAUGAGGCUCACUUUGUUCUCUUCUUUACUCCACUCCUCCCUCCCUCCCUCCCUUGCUUCCUCACUCAUUCCUCCCUCGCUUGCUUCCUCCCUUGCUUCCUUCCUCAUUCCUCCCUUCCUUGCUUCCUUGCUUUCCUGCCUGCUUUCCUGCCUGCUUUCCUUCCUUCCUUCCUUCCUUCCUUCCUUCCUUCCUUCCUUCCUUCCUUCCUUCCUUCCUUCCUUCCUUCCUUCCUUCCUUCCUUCCUUCCUUCCUUCCUUCCUUCCUUUCUUUUUCCCCUUCCUUCCUUCCUUCCCGCCCACGGCUGCGUGUGCGUAAGCAACCAGCUGCUCCAGGUGACACGCUUUGGUCAGGUGAUGCGUACGUUUAGUCUCUGAGCUUUUUGAUGUCAGACGGAAGUUGCAGAGGUUGCAUCAUGCUGUCAUCAAAGUAAGGAUUCCUCCCAAAUGUGUCAGGUAAAUAAGAACCUCUGUCUGGGAUGAAACACCCACGAGACAGAAGAUCUAGUGUUUCGUAUUUUGUGCGUAUUUAUGUGUCUGUGUAUAUUGUGUUUGACAAACUGAGUGUGUGCGUGUUUUAGGGCAUGCAAGCAUGUGUUGACGAGUGUGUCGUGUGUGUGCCUGCACAUACACACGAUUGAUGGCUUUCUCAUCUCGGCAGCAGGUCAACGAUCACGUUCUUUAUGGGUGAAGCCAUCAGAGCGCCUCGGCCCACAUCAAGAGCUCCGCCUCCAAAGUCAACCUGGUUCUGCUCAGAAGCCGAGACGGCGUCCAGCAGAUGGCAGUCCUGCCCUUCCCGCCAACCCCCAAGGUAAAGCCAUCGCCACCCAACGGAACGUGGCGACAGAAACUAGGGGUGUAACAAUACAUCGAUACACAUCGAUUAAUCGAUAUAAUGCUCUACGAUUUAUUGGCAUCGAUGCUAAAGGUAAACAUCGAUUUAUAUCGCCGUGUUUGACCUCGGACAUUAGACGCGACUUUAUUUUGAAAUCCAGUUCAUUGUUGCUCGCUUCCUCUUUCCGGGAGCAGUGGCGCGGCGACGUGUUGUGUUGUGAGCAGAGCAGGCACGUGAAAGGGGAGUCGACAACUAGUACGCGGCUCCUGGGCUGGUGCUAUGGCUACUGUCCAAAAAGACGAGGAAAUUUGCUCCCCUUUAGGCUUCAAGUCAUUCGUUUGGAAGCACUUUGGAUUCCAAAGAAAAGAUGGCUCAACGGACAAGACACGUGCAGUUUGUACAUCCUGCCAUGCGGUGAUAAAAUAUUCAGGGACCACAAAUCUCGCUGCAGAUUUAAAGAAAAAACACGACAUCAAAGUUCAGUGUUAAAAUAAGCACUUUGUAUACUACAAUACUCUUGUAAUUUCCUAAAUAAAGAGUUUGCAGUACCUUGUUGAUUUUGCGUAGGAAUUGUUAUAAAUCAGGAUAUUGUUCUAUAUUUUUUAUUUAAAAAAAAAAAUCAAUCGUAGAGCACUAUAUCGUGAUAUAUCGUGAAUGAAUCGCAGCAGGCUUUAAGAUAUCGGCAAAUAUCGUAUCGUAGUUCUUUGUAUCGAUAUAUCGUAUCGUGACAAAACCCGCGAUUUACACCCCUAGCAAUACUACAUUGUCCUACAGCAGGGGUGGGCAAACUACGGCCCGCGGGCCACAUCCGGCCCACGGGACCGUUUAAUCCGGCCCGCCAACCCUGAAUAAAUUGUAUUAAACAUU
Syngnathus typhle (broad-nosed pipefish) is the source of this 2243-nucleotide long non-coding RNA. RefSeq lists it as uncharacterized. NCBI's taxonomy places the organism in Eukaryota, Metazoa, Chordata, Actinopteri, Syngnathiformes, Syngnathidae. The record is from RefSeq and is a predicted model, not a curated record. The transcript has 3 exons.